This 465-nucleotide ribosomal RNA is filed under the name uncultured bacterium. RNAcentral's name for it is "partial 16S ribosomal RNA". It matches the Rfam family "Bacterial small subunit ribosomal RNA", at positions 28 to 507 of the family's 1533-position model. The record is from RNAcentral.
GACGAACGCUGGCGGCGUGCUUAACACAUGCAAGUCGAACGGAAAGGCCCUGCUUGCAGGGUACUCGAGUGGCGAACGGGUGAGUAACACGUGGGUGAUCUGCCCUGCACUUCGGGAUAAGCCUGGGAAACUGGGUCUAAUACCGGAUAGGAGCCAUUUUUAUUGUGAUGGUUGGAAAGUUUUUUCGGUGUAGGAUGAGCUCGCUGCCUUUCAGCUUGGUGGUGGGGUAAUGGCCUAACAAGGCGGCGACGGGUAGCCGGCCUGGGGGGGUGGACGGCCAACAUGGGGACUGGGAACGGCCCAGACCCCUACGGGGGGGAGGAGUGGGGAAUAUUGCAAAAUGGGGGGAAGGCUGAUGCAGCGAAGCCGCGUGGGGGAUGACGGCCUUCGGGGUGGAAACUCCUUUCGCCAGGGACGAAGCUUUUUGUGACGGUACCUAGAUAAGAAGCACCGGCUAACUACGUG